Molecule: non-coding RNA, 21 nt
Filed under: Arabidopsis thaliana (thale cress)
Lineage: Eukaryota; Viridiplantae; Streptophyta; Magnoliopsida; Brassicales; Brassicaceae
Source: RNAcentral
UGGAGCUAGAAGUGAGAUUAC